GACGAACGCUGGCGGCGUGCUUAACACAUGCAAGUCGAGCGGUAAGGCCCUUUCGGGGGUACACGAGCGGCGAACGGGUGAGUAACACGUGGGUGACCUGCCCUUAGCUCUGGGAUAAGCCUGGGAAACUGGGUCUAAUACCGGAUAUGACUCCAUGACGCAUGUUGUGGGGUGGAAAGCCUUGUGCGGCUAGGGAUGGGCCCGCGGCCUAUCAGCUUGUGGUGGGUGAUGGCCUACCAAGGCGACGACGGGUAGCCGGCCUGAGAGGGCGACCGGCCACACUGGGACUGAGACACGGCCCAGACUCCUACGGGAGGCAGCAGUGGGGAAUCUUGCGCAAUGGCGAAAGCCUGACGCAGCGACGCCGCGUGAGGGAUGACGGCCUGGUUGUAACGUACUU
This 400-nucleotide ribosomal RNA is filed under the name uncultured bacterium. RNAcentral describes it as "bacterial SSU rRNA". It matches the Rfam family "Bacterial small subunit ribosomal RNA", at positions 28 to 435 of the family's 1533-position model. The record is from RNAcentral.